RNAcentral lists this long non-coding RNA (391 nucleotides) under Hordeum vulgare. RNAcentral's name for it is "long non-coding RNA (HVUL_LNC015645)". Lineage: Eukaryota; Viridiplantae; Streptophyta; Magnoliopsida; Poales; Poaceae. The record is from RNAcentral.
GGAUCACAUGCAUUGAAGCAAUCUCAAGAUUCAGAAAUGAUCAAAAAAAUUGUACGUGGAGAAGAAAGAGACGAGAGUCAUGAAAGUAGGGUAAACGCGAAGAGACGAUGAAAAUCAAUCAGAGAGGAGAGGGAAGAAUGACAAUGGAAAUCAUAAAGCUCAGCGAGGAGCACAUUACUAUGAAUAAUAAUGGAGAGGGACAUUAAAGGGGAAAAUUGAGUAAAGAGAUAUAUAAAUAUAUUAGACUCUUCUACUUCAUUUUCUUGUUUAGAUUCAUUACUUCAAUGAUUGAACAUGGGCAGAUACCUAUAAGGACCCUGUUUCAUUGACCUUCGCCCUUUUGUAUCCCUCGUUAAGAUAUGUUAUCCAGACCAACUCCCACGUAGAAAAC